RNAcentral lists this unclassified non-coding RNA (232 nucleotides) under Hevea brasiliensis (rubber tree). The record is from RNAcentral. Lineage: Eukaryota; Viridiplantae; Streptophyta; Magnoliopsida; Malpighiales; Euphorbiaceae.
GAGAUAGUAUUAAAAAUUUCAGUGUGUAUAUAAAAUAAUAAUAGAGGAGAAUUGAGAGAGUUGAGAAUUUGAAGGAGUGUAAAAAAUAAUUAUUUAAAGCAUUUGAGAGAAAUAUAAAGAGUAUUAAGAAUUGAAGAGAGUGUAGAGAAUAAUUGUGUAAAAAAUAAUUAUUUAAAGCAUUUGAGAGAAAUAUAAAGAGUAUUAAGAAUUGAAGAGAGUGUAGAGAAUAAUU